AACGAACGUUGGCGGCGUGGAUUAGGCAUGCAAGUCGAACGCGAAUCCCUGGGCAACUGGGGAGGAGAGUGGCGAAAGGGGCAGUAAGGCGUGGGUAACCUACCCUCCGGGCCGGGAUAGCUUCGGGAAACUGAAGGUAAUACCGGGCGACGCAGCGAGAUGGCAUGGUCUUGCUGCCAAAGGUCCGCCGCCGGGGGAGGGGCUCACGUGGUAUUAGCUAGACGGCGGGGUAACGGCCCACCGUGGCAAAGAUGCCUAGCAGGUGUGAGAGCACGACCUGCGCCACUGGCACUGAGACACUGGCCAGACACCUACGGGUGGCUGCAGUCGAGGAUCUUCGGCAAUGGGCGCAAGCCUGACCGAGCGACGCCGCGUGUGCGAUGAAGGCCUUCGGGUUGUAAAGCACUGUCGAGGGGGAGGAAGCCGCAAGGUUGACCUAUCCCUGGAGGAAGCACGGGCUAAGUUCGUG
This 469-nucleotide ribosomal RNA is filed under the name uncultured bacterium. RNAcentral's name for it is "partial 16S ribosomal RNA". It matches the Rfam family "Bacterial small subunit ribosomal RNA", at positions 28 to 507 of the family's 1533-position model. The record is from RNAcentral.